RNAcentral lists this ribosomal RNA (301 nucleotides) under uncultured bacterium. RNAcentral describes it as "partial 16S ribosomal RNA". It matches the Rfam family "Bacterial small subunit ribosomal RNA", at positions 509 to 807 of the family's 1533-position model. The record is from RNAcentral.
CAGUCGCCACGGGAAUACGAAGGGGGCUAGCGUUGUUCGGAUUUACUGGGCGUAAAGGGCGCGUAGGCGGACUGAUAAGUCAGGGGUGAAAUCCCAAGGCUCAACCUUGGAACUGCCUUUGAUACUGUUUGUCUUGAGUUCGAGAGAGGUAAGUGGAACUGCGAGUGUAGAGGUGAAAUUCGUAGAUAUUCGCAAGAACACCAGUGGCGAAGGCGGCUUACUGGCUCGAGACUGACGCUCAUGCACGAAAGCGUGGGGAGCAAACAGGAUUAGAUACCCCAGUAGUCCCUGUCUCUUAUAC